AUUGAACGCUGGCGGCAGGCCUAACACAUGCAAGUCGAGCGGAAGAAGGGAGCUUGCUCCUGGAUUCAGCGGCGGACGGGUGAGUAAUGCCUAGGAAUCUGCCUGGUAGUGGGGGAUAACGUCCGGAAACGGGCGCUAAUACCGCAUACGUCCUGAGGGAGAAAGUGGGGGAUCUUCGGACCUCACGCUAUCAGAUGAGCCUAGGUCGGAUUAGCUAGUUGGUGGGGUAAAGGCCUACCAAGGCGACGAUCCGUAACUGGUCUGAGAGGAUGAUCAGUCACACGGGAACUGAGACACGGUCCAGACUCCUACGGGAGGCAGCAGUGGGGAAUAUUGGACAAUGGGCGAAAGCCUGAUCCAGCCAUGCCGCGUGUGUGAAGAAGGUCUUCGGAUUGUAAAGCACUUUAAGUUGGGAGGAAGGGCAGUAAGUUAAUACCUUGCUGUUUUGACGUUACCAACAGAAUAAGCACCGGCUAACUUCGUG
RNAcentral lists this ribosomal RNA (484 nucleotides) under uncultured bacterium. RNAcentral describes it as "partial 16S ribosomal RNA". It matches the Rfam family "Bacterial small subunit ribosomal RNA", at positions 30 to 507 of the family's 1533-position model. The record is from RNAcentral.